UUUUAUAUAGUUUACUAUUAAAACAUUAUAUUUUCAAUAUAAAAUUUUUCUUUUAAAGAAAUAUAAAUA
Molecule: transfer RNA, 69 nt
Filed under: Phenacoccus manihoti (cassava mealybug)
Lineage: Eukaryota; Metazoa; Arthropoda; Insecta; Hemiptera; Pseudococcidae
Description: tRNA-Glu
Source: RNAcentral